CCUACGGGAGGCAGCAGUGAGGAAUAUUGGUCAAUGGGCGAGAGCCUGAACCAGCCAAGUAGCGUGAAGGAUGACUGCCCUACGGGUUGUAAACUUCUUUUAUAAAGGAAUAAAGUGAGGCACGUGUACCUUUUUGUAUGUACUUUAUGAAUAAGGAUCGGCUAACUCCGUGCCAGCAGCCGCGGUAUUACGGAGGAUCCGAGCGUUAUCCGGAUUUAGUGGGUUUAAAGGGAGCGUAGAUGGGUUGUUAAGUCAGUUGUGAAAGUUUGCGGCUUAACCGUAAAAUUGCAAUUGAUACUGGGAGUCUUGAGUACAGUUGAGGUAGGCGGAAUGCGUGGUGUAGCGGUGAAAUGCUUAGAUAUCACGAAGAACUCCGAUUGCGAAGGCAGCUUACUAAACUGCCACUGACGUUGAUGCUCGAAAGUGUGGGUAUCAAACAGGAUUAGAUACCCGAGUAGUC
This 460-nucleotide ribosomal RNA is filed under the name uncultured bacterium. RNAcentral describes it as "partial 16S ribosomal RNA". It matches the Rfam family "Bacterial small subunit ribosomal RNA", at positions 338 to 795 of the family's 1533-position model. The record is from RNAcentral.